GUGACCUUCUCUGAGCUUCAGUUGCCUCGUCUGUAAAGUGGGGUUCAUUCAAGAAAUGGUUUCCGAAUGUCUUCGUUGUGCCAAAACACUGAGUUGAAUCUUUAAGUUUUUAAACAACAGUUAAAAAUAAAUAAAUAAAAAGAGCAGCUUCGGACACCCGAAGAGGGUCGCCCACUCAUUACCAAAGCUGAGGGCACACUGGAAGGGCCCCGUCUGAAAAGAGAGGGGACAUCUGUGUUUCUCAGAAUUCUCUAAGUGAAUCCCACGCACCCACUGAGCAUCAAAAACGCGUGCCUACGCCUAGAAUCAACCGCCGGGCCAAUGUCUGAGCGCCAGCCCGCCCGUUCCGCGAUGAGCACCUUUCGAACUUCAAACUACUGCUUGUUCAAAGUGACCAGCACAUAACUUACCUUGUGGUUAAGAACAAAGGACAGGACAUGUACUGCGGCCCUAACCAUAAAGAUAGGAAUUUCCUGCUGGGUCCCAAAAAUUGGAUUUUAAUCUAACUUUCAGUCUGCUUCUGUACCCCUGUGCUUGCUCAAAGAUGAGAUCAUGACAUUCUGUUGUGUAGUUUUUCCCUUUAAAAACGGCUUCCUUGCUUGAUCUUACCGAAGGAAGUUAAGAGCAAGAUCUCAGCCUUUGGUCAUUGGCUAUAAAGGACUUUUAAUAUGAA
Molecule: long non-coding RNA, 673 nt
Organism: Heterocephalus glaber (naked mole-rat)
Lineage: Eukaryota; Metazoa; Chordata; Mammalia; Rodentia; Bathyergidae
Source: RefSeq, a predicted model, not a curated record